UUCACAGCAAUGAAAACCUGUGCUGCCUAU
RNAcentral lists this non-coding RNA (30 nucleotides) under Mus musculus (house mouse). Lineage: Eukaryota; Metazoa; Chordata; Mammalia; Rodentia; Muridae. The record is from RNAcentral.